ACGGAAGGCAGCAGUGGGGAAUAUUGCACAAUGGGCGAAAGCCUGAUGCAGCGACGCCGCGUGAACGAAGAAGUAUUUCGGUAUGUAAAGUUCUAUCAGCAGGGAAGAAGAAUGACGGUACCUGACUAAGAAGCACCGGCUAAAUACGUGCCAGCAGCCGCGGUAAUACGUAUGGGGCAAGCGUUAUCCGGAUUUACUGGGUGUAAAGGGAGUGUAGGUGGUCUGGCAAGUCAGAUGUGAAAGCCCGCGGCUCAACUGCGGGACUGCAUUUGAAACUGUCAGACUAGAGUGCAGGAGAGGAAAGUGGAAUUCCUAGUGUAGCGGUGAAAUGCGUAGAUAUUAGGAAGAACACCAGUGGCGAAGGCGGCUUUCUGGACUGUAACUGACACUGAGGCUCGAAAGCGUGGGGAGCAAACAGGAUUAGAUACCCUGGUA
Molecule: ribosomal RNA, 435 nt
Filed under: uncultured Lachnospiraceae bacterium
Lineage: Bacteria; Bacillati; Bacillota; Clostridia; Lachnospirales; Lachnospiraceae
Description: bacterial SSU rRNA
Rfam family: Bacterial small subunit ribosomal RNA
Source: RNAcentral